AAAGUUCUAUGUGGAUAUCUUCAUUUGCAACAAUGUUAAUGGAGCUAGAGAGUAUAAUGCUAAGUGAAAUAAAUCAGUCAGAGAAAGACAAAUACCAUAUGAUUUCACUCAUAUGCGGAAUUUAAGAAACAAAACAAAUGAGC
Molecule: long non-coding RNA, 143 nt
Organism: Leopardus geoffroyi (Geoffroy's cat)
Lineage: Eukaryota; Metazoa; Chordata; Mammalia; Carnivora; Felidae
Exons: 3
Source: RefSeq, a predicted model, not a curated record